This 468-nucleotide ribosomal RNA is filed under the name uncultured bacterium. Its description in RNAcentral is "partial 16S ribosomal RNA". It matches the Rfam family "Bacterial small subunit ribosomal RNA", at positions 28 to 507 of the family's 1533-position model. The record is from RNAcentral.
GACGAACGCUGGCGGCGUGCUUAACACAUGCAAGUCGAACGGACAGGCCCUGCUUUUGUGGGGUGCUCGAGUGGCGAACGGGUGAGUAACACGUGAGUAACCUGCCCUUGACUUUGGGAUAACUUCAGGAAACUGGGGCUAAUACCGGAUAGGAGCUCCUGCUGCAUGGGGGGGGUUGGAAAGAUUCGGCGGUUGGGGAUGGACUCGCGGCUUAUCAGCUUGUUGGUGGGGUAGGUGCUUACCAAGGCUUUGACGGGUAGCCGGCCUGAGAGGGUGACCGGCCACAUUGGGACUGAGAUACGGCCCAGACUCCUACGGGAGGCAGCAGUGGGGAAUAUUGCACAGUGGGCGGAAGCCUGAUGCAGCAACGCCGCGUGCGGGAUGACGGCCUUCGGGUUGUAAACCGCUUUCGCCUGUGACGAAGCGUGAGUGACGGUAAUGGGUAAAGAAGCACCGGCUAACUACGUG